Molecule: small RNA, 472 nt
Filed under: Pongo abelii (Sumatran orangutan)
Lineage: Eukaryota; Metazoa; Chordata; Mammalia; Primates; Hominidae
Description: retained intron
Source: RNAcentral
GGGUGCUUUAUUCUGAUUCACACGAAGGCUCAGUAUGAGCCAGUGGUGGCCCUGGGGAAAACCCAGCUCAGGCCUUACUGGAGGAGCAAGAAGCAGGGCUGCUGAUGGGCAGGAAAGGGCUCUGGAGAGUGGGGCUAGUGUCUUCUUGCAUGGUGCCCACUGGGCCUUCCUGAGUCAAGAAGAAGCCUCGGCUUGCUCCCCAACUGUAUGGUUCAAACCCUAUCCCUUCCCCAGGGACAGUGAUCCCCCCACAGGCCUCGCUGGUCUUUCACGUCCUCCUGAUUGACGUGCACAACCCGAAGGACACUGUCCAGCUAGAGACGCUGGAGCUUCCCCCGGGCUGUGUCCGCAGAGCCGGGGCCGGGGACUUCAUGCGCUACCACUACAAUGGUUCCUUGAUGGACGGCACCCUCUUCGAUUCCAGCUACUCCCGCAACCACACCUACAAUACCUAUAUCGGGCAGGGUUACAU